Molecule: ribosomal RNA, 465 nt
Filed under: Vreelandella stevensii
Lineage: Bacteria; Pseudomonadati; Pseudomonadota; Gammaproteobacteria; Oceanospirillales; Halomonadaceae
Description: partial 16S ribosomal RNA
Rfam family: Bacterial small subunit ribosomal RNA
Source: RNAcentral
CCUACGGGCGGCUGCAGUGGGGAAUAUUGGACAAUGGGCGAAAGCCUGAUCCAGCCAUGCCGCGUGUGUGAAGAAGGCCUUCGGGUUGUAAAGCACUUUCAGUGGGGAAGAAAGCCUUGGGGCUAAUACCCUCGAGGAAGGACAUCACCCACAGAAGAAGCACCGGCUAACUCCGUGCCAGCAGCCGCGGUAAUACGGAGGGUGCGAGCGUUAAUCGGAAUUACUGGGCGUAAAGCGCGCGUAGGCGGUCUGAUAAGCCGGUUGUGAAAGCCCCGGGCUCAACCUGGGAACGGCAUCCGGAACUGUCAGGCUAGAGUGCAGGAGAGGAAGGUAGAAUUCCCGGUGUAGCGGUGAAAUGCGUAGAGAUCGGGAGGAAUACCAGUGGCGAAGGCGGCCUUCUGGACUGACACUGACGCUGAGGUGCGAAAGCGUGGGUAGCAAACAGGAUUAGAUACCCCAGUCGUC